RNAcentral lists this non-coding RNA (27 nucleotides) under Rattus norvegicus (Norway rat). The record is from RNAcentral. Lineage: Eukaryota; Metazoa; Chordata; Mammalia; Rodentia; Muridae.
UCAGACUGUUUGUCUUGCAUUAGAGUU